CGCGUAGGCGGCUUGAUAAGUCGGGGGUGAAAGCCUGUGGCUCAACCACAGAAUUGCCUUCGAUACUGUCAGGCUUGAGACCGGAAGAGGUAAGUGGAACUGCGAGUGUAGAGGUGAAAUUCGUAGAUAUUCGCAAGAACACCAGUGGCGAAGGCGGCUUACUGGUCCGGUUCUGACGCUGAGGCGCGAAAGCGUGGGAGCAAACA
This 206-nucleotide ribosomal RNA is filed under the name uncultured bacterium. RNAcentral describes it as "partial 16S ribosomal RNA". It matches the Rfam family "Bacterial small subunit ribosomal RNA", at positions 568 to 774 of the family's 1533-position model. The record is from RNAcentral.